Molecule: ribosomal RNA, 250 nt
Filed under: uncultured bacterium
Lineage: Bacteria
Description: partial 16S ribosomal RNA
Rfam family: Bacterial small subunit ribosomal RNA
Source: RNAcentral
UACGGAGGAUCCAAGCGUUAUCCGGAAUCAUUGGGUUUAAAGGGUCCGUAGGCGGUUAAAUAAGUCAGUGGUGAAAGUUUGCGGCUCAACCGUAAAAUUGCCAUUGAUACUGUUUGACUUGAAUCAUUGGGAAGUAACUAGAAUAUGUAGUGUAGCGGUGAAAUGCUUAGAUAUUACAUGGAAUACCAAUUGCGAAGGCAGGUUACUAUUGAUGUAUUGACGCUGAUGGACGAAAGCGUGGGGAGCGAAC